GACGAACGCGGCGGCGUGCCUAAUACAUGCAAGUAGAACGCUGAAGGAGGAGCUUGCUCUUUCCGGAUGAGUUGCGAACGGGUGAGUAACGCGUAGGUAACCUGCCUGGUAGCGGGGGAUAACUAUUGGAAACGAUAGCUAAUACCGCAUAAUAGCAGUUAUUGCAUGAUAACUGUUUGAAAGGUGCAAAUGCACCACUACCAGAUGGACCUGCGUUGUAUUAGCUAGUUGGUGAGGUAACGGCUCACCAAGGCGACGAUACAUAGCCGACCUGAGAGGGUGAUCGGCCACACUGGGACUGAGACACGGCCCAGACUCCUACGGGAGGCAGCAGUAGGGAAUCUUCGGCAAUGGACGGAAGUCUGACCGAGCAACGCCGCGUGAGUGAAGAAGGUUUUCGGAUCGUAAAGCUCUGUUGUAAGAGAAGAACGAGUGUGAGAGUGGAAAGUUCACACCGUGACGGAUCUACCAGAA
RNAcentral lists this ribosomal RNA (474 nucleotides) under Streptococcus mitis. RNAcentral describes it as "bacterial SSU rRNA". It matches the Rfam family "Bacterial small subunit ribosomal RNA", at positions 28 to 488 of the family's 1533-position model. The record is from RNAcentral. Lineage: Bacteria; Bacillati; Bacillota; Bacilli; Lactobacillales; Streptococcaceae.